UAUUGUACCUCUUUUUCAGACUUAUUCUCAUUGAUUUCAAUUAGUCGAGCUAGUUAUAGAGCAAUUCAUGGAAGCCCCGGUGUUAUCUGACGCUGUAAACUCAUUGGAUCCGUUGCAUAAAAGGCGUUACGUGGAAAAGCUUCAGUUUAUCCAUUCGCCAGAUCCGUAUUUGAUGCCUAAAUCGAUGUUUUUCGACCCGCUGGCUUCGCCUGACAUCUGAUACCCACACAAAAUCAGCCUAUUCUCACGAAAGUUUGAAAAACUUUAAGAGCUUGGAGGCUUAUAAAUGCUACGUUGCUGGUUAGGUGAAACACGUCCUCGCACACGAAAAUUCGGCAGGAAUCUUGUGCUCGGAAGGCUCCAGCCGAUGAUGUAGAUGUUGCACUCAACGGCAACCUUAUCCGUGACUUUGCAUCGUAAGGUGCCGUGUCGCACUAUGGUUGGAAGGGGGCAAUGGACGUCAUAGAAGGGAGUCAGUGCACAGUUCUGUUGUUUGUUUGUUUGCAGCUGCAAAACGCUGUUAGGCAAGCAAAGACAACUUGAUGUGCCCACAACAUCACUUGCUGUACGUUGACUGACAUACAUCGAGACUACGUGCAUUUUACUUUUUACACAUGCUGCCUGAAGUUGUGGAUGACUGAUGGAAGGCUCCAGUUAUGCUCCACAUUCGUUAAUGUUUGAGUAAUAACUU
Corythoichthys intestinalis (scribbled pipefish) is the source of this 691-nucleotide long non-coding RNA. RefSeq lists it as uncharacterized. The transcript has 3 exons. NCBI's taxonomy places the organism in Eukaryota, Metazoa, Chordata, Actinopteri, Syngnathiformes, Syngnathidae. The record is from RefSeq and is a predicted model, not a curated record.